UGAGCGAGGAGCCACGGGCCUUCGGUCUCAUCCGUGUGUGGAACAUGUCCAGGGGUCCACUGCCCACUGGUGUCCCCAGAGGGGUGACACGAGGGCAGGAAAACACAGCAGCUUGUGCCCAGAUCCCAAAAAAUAUGGAAUAACCCCUUCAAGGAUCUUCUGUGCUCCUCUAGGGACAGGAAAACACUGCUUGGUUCAGCUUUGCAUCCUCACAACACUUCCUUCAGCACAUCCUUUGGGACAGGUGGGAUUAAUAUCCAACAGUUCCUUUUAA
RNAcentral lists this long non-coding RNA (274 nucleotides) under Cyanistes caeruleus (blue tit). Its description in RNAcentral is "lncRNA (ENSCCEG00000001125.1)". The record is from RNAcentral. Lineage: Eukaryota; Metazoa; Chordata; Aves; Passeriformes; Paridae.